GGAAGUUUUCGGGUGACGCACUAAGAAUCGGGCUCCCUCCUCUCUGGUUCUGGGUGUGUCAUCUGAGAACUGCA
Non-coding RNA from Myotis brandtii (Brandt's bat), 74 nucleotides. Lineage: Eukaryota; Metazoa; Chordata; Mammalia; Chiroptera; Vespertilionidae. The record is from Rfam.